Molecule: ribosomal RNA, 1240 nt
Filed under: metagenome
Description: bacterial LSU rRNA
Rfam family: Bacterial large subunit ribosomal RNA
Source: RNAcentral
UGAAUACGAGAUGCUACGGCGUCGAAGCAGUCUAUGUCAUACUUCCAAGAAAAGCUUGCACUGCCAUAAACAAAUAAUGCCUGUACCAUAACCGACACAGGUGGGUAGGUAGAGUAUACUAAGGGGCGCGAGAUAACUCUCUCUAAGGAACUCGGCAAAAUGACUCCGUAACUUCGGGAGAAGGAGUGCCUUAUUUAUAAGGUUGCAAUAACAAGACCCAAGCAACUGUUUAUCAAAAACACAGGUCUCCGCUAAGUCGUAAGACGAUGUAUGGGGGCUGACGCCUGCCCAGUGCCAGAAGGUUAAAGAAGUUGGUUAGCAUUAGCGAAGCUGAUGACUGAAGCCCUGGUGAACGGCGGCCGUAACAAUAACGGUCCUAAGGUAGCGAAAUUCCUUGUCGGGUAAGUUCCGACCCGCACGAAAGGCGUAAUGAUUUGGGUACUGUCUCAGAGAGGGACUCGGUGAAAUAGACUUGUCUGUGAAGAUGCGGACUACCUGCACCUGGACAGAAAGACCCUAUGAAGCUUUACUGUAACCUGAAAUUGAAAUUGGACUUUAUUUGCGCAGUAUAGGUGGGAGGCUUUGAAGAUAUUCUUGCGGGAAUGUUGGAGCCAUCAGUGAGAUACCACUCUUGUAAUGUUAGAUUUCUAACUUUGUAUCAUUAUCUGGUCAAAGAACAGUUUCAGGCGGGCAGUUUGACUGGGGCGGUCGCCUCCUAAACGGUAACGGAGGCGCACAAAGGUUUCCUCUGAACGGGUAGAAAUCGUAUCUAGAGUGUAAAGGCAUAAGGAAGCUUGACUGUGAGACCUACAAGUCGAGCAGGGACGAAAGUCGGUCUUAGUGAUCUGACGGUGCUGAGUGGAAAGGCCGUCACUCAACGGAUAAAAGUUACUCUAGGAUAACAGGCUGAUCUCCCCCAAGAGUUCACAUCGACGGGGAGGUUUGGCACCUCGAUGUCGGCUCAUCGCAUCCUGGGGCGGUAGUACGUCCCAAGGGUUGGGCUGUUCGCCCAUGAAAGCGGUACGCGAGCUGGGUUCAGAACGUCGUGAGACAGUUCGGUCCAUAUCCGGUGUAGGCGUUAGAAUAUUGAGAGGAGCCUUCCCUAGUACGAGAGGACCGAGAAGGACACACCUCUGGUGUACCAGUUAUCGUGCCAACGGUAAACGCUGGGUAGCUAUGUGUGGAGCGGAUAACCGCUGAAAGCAUCUAAGUGGGAAGCCCACCUCAAGAUAAGUAUUCU